Molecule: long non-coding RNA, 1038 nt
Organism: Leptidea sinapis
Lineage: Eukaryota; Metazoa; Arthropoda; Insecta; Lepidoptera; Pieridae
Exons: 3
Source: RefSeq, a predicted model, not a curated record
UCUAACACUAAGCAUUAAUAACUAUUCAAAUUAUAAACUAUUAAACUUUAUAAAAUACUAAUAAUUAUUAUUCCUAACUUAUAACUAUGGUUCGAUGUGUAACAUCUAUUAAAGUGUAUACAGUAUUCACAAAGCAAAAACAAUAGAUAAAGUAGAAGUCAAAAUUUGUGCUGAUAAGUGGUAUUAUACCAAUUUACUGAGUAAUAUAUAAAAAUAAUAACAUUUCAAUGCACUCCAGUAUUUCUUAAGAUUACGGAUCACUCUCUGUGUGACAGGCCUAGAUGAACCACAAUAUAAAGAAUAGAAUCUUGGGUUGAAUACAGUAACGAUACUUACAAUGACUACUAGUCGUAAGAUGCAUCUCAACAAUUUGCUUCAGCAAUGUGCUUGAUGCUGGAUCAUAAUUAUAGUGUUAUUAGCAAGCCUAAAAGAACAGCUGGAAAAGAUCUAAUGGCUCCACAGCGCACAAAGAUCAAGCAUCUUCAAGCAGAAAUAUCGCGCUUGCGAAAAAAGGACAAUCUUUCAAAGCAAGGUUAGAAGGUGCUGAAGAUUUGUCCAGCAGCAAUGUGUUUCAACAUUUUGCUAUGAAAUUUAAGAAACCAGCUAAAUUAUUUUUAAGUAUGCAGUUGCAAGCAUCAAAAAACCCAAAAAUGAUAGGAAAUAACAAUGAUUAUAUAAAGGCAAAAGAAUACAAUAAUAAAAAAUGGUUAUGUUAUCCAAAUCAAGAAUUAGAAAAUUGCUUCCAUGACAUUCAAAAUAUAAUAAUUGGGAUCUUAAAAACAGAUAUACCCAAAAAAUAUAUAAAAAAGCAUAUCAUAUAAAUAGCAGAUGUGAUGGUAGAUUAUCCUUUUUAUUGCACCACACAUAAAGAAAAGUUGAAACAAUAUUUAACUUUAUUUAUUUAAUAAUUUAUAUAACACAACUAUAAAUGUUAUUUUGUAUUGUAUAGUUGGUGCAGAUCGAUCAAUCGAAUUUUGUCCGGAAAAUUAAGAUGUGUGGGUGAAGACGAAACAAAAACAGCUGCCCAACAAUAUUAUU